UUUCCAGACUCCUACGGGAGGCAGCAGUGGGGAAUAUUGCACAGUGGGGGAAACCCUGAUGCAGCGACGCCGCGUGAGUGAAGAAGUAUUUCGGUAUGUAAAUCUCUAUCAGCAGGGAAGAAGUUGACGGUACCUGAGUAAGAAGCCCCGGCUAACUACGUGCCAGCAGCCGCGGUAAUACGUAGGGGGCAAGCGUUAUCCGGAUUUACUGGGUGUAAAGGGAGCGUAGACGGCAGUGCAAGUCUGAAGUGAAAGCCCCGGGCUUAACCCGGGAAUUGCUUUGGAAACUGUACGGCUGGAGUGCUGGAGAGGUAAGCGGAAUUCCUAGUGUAGCGGUGAAAUGCGUAGAUAUUAGGAGGAACACCAGUGGCGAAGGCGGCUUACUGGACAGUAACUGACGUUGAGGCUCGAAAGCGUGGGGAGCAAACAGGAUUAGAUACCCUGGUAC
RNAcentral lists this ribosomal RNA (448 nucleotides) under uncultured bacterium. RNAcentral's name for it is "bacterial SSU rRNA". It matches the Rfam family "Bacterial small subunit ribosomal RNA", at positions 328 to 793 of the family's 1533-position model. The record is from RNAcentral.